ACAGCAAGCCGUCUUAUCGCUGCUCUUUUAGAGGAGAGGAAAGUCCGGGCAACGCAGAGCAUCCUACUUCCUAACGGGAAGGGUCUUUUCCGGCGACAGAAAAGAUACAGCCAGUGCCACAGAAAAUAACCGCCAGCUUGCUGGUAAGGGUGAAAAGGUGCGGUAAGAGCGCACCAGCGGCUGGGCAACCAGUCCGGCUGGGUAAACCUUAGGAGUUGAAAGACCAAAUAGGCUGGCAGCAUCCUGCUUCGGCGGGGUUAAGGGCUGCUCGUCCGAUGUCAGUGGGUAGGUCGAUGGAGCCUGUGCGCGAGUGCAGGCCUAGAUAAAUGAUAAGACGUUGGGUUUCGGCCCAGCGACAGGACCCGGCUUACAGGCUUGUUGUUAAU
This 386-nucleotide RNase P RNA is filed under the name Pontibacter arcticus. RNAcentral describes it as "Bacterial RNase P class A". It matches the Rfam family "Bacterial RNase P class A". From Rfam's summary of the family: Ribonuclease P (RNase P) is a ubiquitous endoribonuclease, found in archaea, bacteria and eukarya as well as chloroplasts and mitochondria. Its best characterised activity is the generation of mature 5'-ends of tRNAs by cleaving the 5'-leader elements of precursor-tRNAs. Cellular RNase Ps are ribonucleoproteins. The record is from Rfam by way of RNAcentral. Lineage: Bacteria; Pseudomonadati; Bacteroidota; Cytophagia; Cytophagales; Hymenobacteraceae.